CUACGGGUUGCUCCAGUGGGGAAUAUUGCACAAUGGGCGCAAGCCUGAUGCAGCAACGCCGCGUGAACGAUGAAGGUCUUCGGAUCGUAAAGUUCUUUUCUUAGGGAAGAAAAAUGACGGUACCUAAGGAAUAAGCACCGGCUAAAUACGUGCCAGCAGCCGCGGUAAUACGUAUGGUGCAAGCGUUAUCCGGAAUCACUGGGCGUAAAGGGAGCGUAGGCGGUUUUGCAAGUCAGAAGUGAAAGGCUACGGCUCAACCGUGGUAAGCUUUUGAAACUGCAAGACUAGAGUGCAGGAGAGGCAAGUGGAAUUCCUAGUGUAGAGGUGAAAUUCGUAGAUAUUAGGAGGAACACCAGUGGCGAAGGCGACUUGCUGGACUGUAACUGACGCUGAGGCUCGAAAGCGUGGGGAGCGAACAGGAUUAGAUACCCCCGUAGUC
RNAcentral lists this ribosomal RNA (439 nucleotides) under uncultured bacterium. RNAcentral's name for it is "partial 16S ribosomal RNA". It matches the Rfam family "Bacterial small subunit ribosomal RNA", at positions 339 to 795 of the family's 1533-position model. The record is from RNAcentral.